This 28-nucleotide non-coding RNA is filed under the name Homo sapiens (human). The record is from RNAcentral. Lineage: Eukaryota; Metazoa; Chordata; Mammalia; Primates; Hominidae.
UGCUGUCUCCCUCUGCUUUCAGCACAGC